CGACGCCACGACUCUAUUCUCGCCUUCGUCGCCGCUCCCGAUGGGGCUCGCCGCGCUACGUCUUCUCGUUUCUUGCGCUUCUUCGCCUCCGCGAAGGGCGACGUCUUCCUCGGUCUCCCCUUGGGUGGAUGGAAUCCUCCGCCACGUCUCGACAUCAGGGUACGAUCUCUCCUCCGAUCGGUAUUUAUAAGUGAAAUUAAUGUGGAUUUUAGGGCUUCGUCAGCUCCGUACAGGGACGAGCGAUGCUUUUUUCUUUUAUUUUUUCAUUGAUGAGAGCUCGUCUAGGGUUAUUACCUUUCCGUGGGUAGAUGUUCUGCAUUGGGCGUUUGGGCAAUGCACUGAAGCUCCACGUUGAUACGGUUCUGAGAUAGUGGUCCUGUUGCUCUCCUCCUUCAAGAAGCCAUUAUGCGGGAAUUAUUAAUCUGUCCUAGGCUAUAUUGAGGACUGCCAAUGGGGGCUAAUACGUUGGUACAUGAUUUGUCCUGAAGAUUGUCUCCAAGAUGAUUAGCGACAUACCACCAGAAGACCAGCGAUCCUGAAUGACUUUCUUGCAAGAUGAUGCGCAGGUCACUAUAACAUGAUGCACAGCUCACCGCAAGAAGAUUAGUCGGUGUUAUAACCUUGCCGUAGGAUGAUGUAGUCAUAGCUUAGGAUCGAUAAGAUGGAUUGAAUAUUUGAAAGAAGUUGAAUCUAUGAAUCAAAUUUAAUAUUUUAAGAAAGAUUUGAUUCGUAUAUCCGUACUGCAUAUAUGCUUAUUUUUUGCAAAUUAUUAUCUAUU
Molecule: non-coding RNA, 778 nt
Organism: Phoenix dactylifera (date palm)
Lineage: Eukaryota; Viridiplantae; Streptophyta; Magnoliopsida; Arecales; Arecaceae
Source: RefSeq, a predicted model, not a curated record